RNAcentral lists this ribosomal RNA (1049 nucleotides) under Xenochalara juniperi. RNAcentral's name for it is "SSU rRNA". It matches the Rfam family "Eukaryotic small subunit ribosomal RNA", at positions 63 to 1120 of the family's 1831-position model. The record is from RNAcentral. Lineage: Eukaryota; Fungi; Ascomycota; Leotiomycetes; Helotiales; Dermateaceae.
GUAUAAGCAAUCUAUACCGUGAAACUGCGAAUGGCUCAUUAAAUCAGUUAUCGUUUAUUUGAUAGUACCUUACUACUUGGAUAACCGUGGUAAUUCUAGAGCUAAUACAUGCUAAAAACCCCGACUUCGGAAGGGGUGUAUUUAUUAGAUAAAAAACCAAUGCCCUUCGGGGCUCCUUGGUGAUUCAUAAUAACUUAACGAAUCGCAUGGCCUUGUGCCGGCGAUGGUUCAUUCAAAUUUCUGCCCUAUCAACUUUCGAUGGUAAGGUAUUGGCUUACCAUGGUUUCAACGGGUAACGGGGAAUUAGGGUUCUAUUCCGGAGAGGGAGCCUGAGAAACGGCUACCACAUCCAAGGAAGGCAGCAGGCGCGCAAAUUACCCAAUCCCGACACGGGGAGGUAGUGACAAUAAAUACUGAUACAGGGCUCUUUUGGGUCUUGUAAUUGGAAUGAGUACAAUUUAAAUCCCUUAACGAGGAACAAUUGGAGGGCAAGUCUGGUGCCAGCAGCCGCGGUAAUUCCAGCUCCAAUAGCGUAUAUUAAAGUUGUUGCAGUUAAAAAGCUCGUAGUUGAACCUUGGGCCUGGCUGGCCGGUCCGCCUCACCGCGUGCACUGGUCCGGCCGGGCCUUUCCUUCUGGGGAGCCGCAUGCCAUUCAUUUGGUGUGUCGGGGAUCCAGGACUUUUACUUUGAAAAAAUUAGAGUGUUCAAAGCAGGCCUAUGCUCGAAUACAUUAGCAUGGAAUAAUAGAAUAGGACGUGUGGUUCUAUUUUGUUGGUUUCUAGGACCGCCGUAAUGAUUAAUAGGGAUAGUCGGGGGCAUCAGUAUUCAAUUGUCAGAGGUGAAAUUCUUGGAUUUAUUGAAGACUAACUACUGCGAAAGCAUUUGCCAAGGAUGUUUUCAUUAAUCAGUGAACGAAAGUUAGGGGAUCGAAGACGAUCAGAUACCGUCGUAGUCUUAACCAUAAACUAUGCCGACUAGGGAUCGGGCGAUGUUAUCUUUUUGACUCGCUCGGCACCUUACGAGAAAUCAAAGUCUUUGGGUUCUGGGGG